GAGGAUCGAACCCAGGGCCCCACACUUGCUAGGCUAGUGCUCUACCACUGAGCCACAACCCCAGUUCUACCAGAUAUUUAAUUAUUCCCGUUUACUUGCAUAUUUGAUAUAGAAGAGAUCAUAGUAAGACAUUUAAGAAGCAAAUUAUACGCUAGUGACAAACCUGUUAACCAGACCUCUUUAGGCCAACUGACUCUAGAUGAAGCAACCAUAACUGACCUAAAAACACCAAUGAAAUAAUGCACAAAUAAUUUGCCAAGAAUUUUAGCACAUGUUACCUCAUUCAAGUCUCGGAAAGACUGAUACAAAAAAACUGAAGUUGGAGUGAAAUUUCUAGUUCUUACUUUAGCUGACUUUUUUUUUUUUGGAUUAAUGAAAUUUCAUUUCAUUUCAUUGACAUUUUGAGGCUUCUCCUCUACUUUACCAUACCUACCAAAUGUGAAAUCUUUGAAAGAAAACACAGUUGCUGUAAUUAGGAUAAACCUCUUCACAGAGUCUGAAGAAUAAAAUAGAACGGCAAAGCAACAAGGAGGCCUGUAAACAAUAAAUAGUUCAUAUAGGAAUCCAGAGGCGGGAUGGGUGCAAUUUGGAAUGGGGCUUCAGUGCUCUGGAAAAGGCCUGGAAAAAGCUGCCCCCUGCCCCAUUCCUCAAGCCCCAUUCCUGAAACCCAGCCUCUCUGCACAGGCUACCUCUGAACUGGCUCUGGAAGCCCUGAGGCCACAGGCGGAGCAUGUUCUGCCUCAAGAUUAGCCCACAGAUUGUGUAAAAUGAAAUAAGCCAGGCAUAGAGAGACAAAUAGCAUGUGUUCUCUCUCAUAUAACAGUGGAAAAAAGUUGAUCUUAAAGCAGAAGAGGCUAGGAAGGGAACAGGAGGGGGAAUAGAGUGAAUUGUGAGAACAGGGAUAGAAACAGUUAGGAAGAGUAAAUUCUGGUGAUGUGCAGCACAGUCAGG
Molecule: long non-coding RNA, 951 nt
Filed under: Marmota monax (woodchuck)
Lineage: Eukaryota; Metazoa; Chordata; Mammalia; Rodentia; Sciuridae
Source: RNAcentral